This is a long non-coding RNA of Musa acuminata AAA Group (dessert banana), 1819 nucleotides long. RefSeq lists it as uncharacterized. The transcript has 6 exons. The record is from RefSeq and is a predicted model, not a curated record. NCBI's taxonomy places the organism in Eukaryota, Viridiplantae, Streptophyta, Magnoliopsida, Zingiberales, Musaceae.
CUCCCAUCCCACCACCCAUCAGAAGAAGAACAGGGCUCCGAUCAGCAACUGCUGCCGGAACCAUCACAUCAGUGCAGUGGGAUUCAUCAUGGGUUCCAAUGCGAAUGGCCUUCAUCUCCUCCACCAAUGUCGAUAUGACUCUUGUGACCUUCAGGUACAGUUACAAGAGACACAGUGUUUUGUGAAUCAUAUGAAGGCCGCCUUGUCCUGAUAAUAGAGCUAUAUGGAUUGGAGCAUGGUCCGGUAAAAAGUCUUGCAUGUGGUAUUCUCUCUCCUGCUUCUUCUAUUAUUAUUGUUUGUGUGCUAUGUUGCUGUAAGUCACUGCACAAAAGCUAACAUGAGGUAUAGCUCCUGUGUCUCGUCAAGCAACACAACAGGGAUUGUCAGCCUUCAACUGGUUGACAACCAUGGCCUCCCACCAGCAACUGCGAGUUAGCAGCACAUUUGCUCCUUGACAUAUUAAUAUAUGAAUCAUUCUUCUAUGAGCGCAGGUACAGGUACCAAAGAACCAUUGAGCUUCCGCAUCUCAUGUGGCUCCACCACAAGCCCAACCUCACCGCAACAUGGGAUGAGAAGAGUUUUUAAUACAAUCCGGAAAAUUAUCCUCAUGUUCAGCUGGGGAGUGGUGUGAUUCCAGUGGAAAGCAAAAUAACCAAGAAUGCAUUUGUCCAGCUCCUCGACUAGCUUCACAUACAGCGAUUCAUGGUUAGGACACUCAUUUACGUCCUCGAUCCCCAUCUGCCUAGCUGCAAUUACACCAUCAGAACAUGUCAUCCCUUGGAAGAGACAACAAACGAUGCAGUAAACAAAAUGCAAAAUGUGGAGGAGGACCAGGUGAAAAGCUUUUCAAACAGUUACCAACAUAAUGGGGGAAGCUUUCCAGCUGCUCCACCCGCCCGGACUCGGCCAGCACAAGCACCGGCUGCGGAUCCCUCAUCUGCGGCUGCCUCCUCCGUCGCCAGUAGCGCUGCGCUGCAGAGAUGGUACUGGCAGUUGGGAUGGCAAUGAGCUAGAGGACAGGUUUGGAGCUCCCAUCUGAUAGGUGGAGCCGGAGGUGAUUUAGUUAGAGAAGUUUCAACGAGAAAGGAAGCAUCAGGGAGAGGUCAAGAGGAAAGGAGAUCCACAAGACUGGUCAAGCUAAUGAGAGGAUGCAUGCCUUUGGGAAUGGUGGCCUGAGGAUCACAUGGAGCUUGAGAUCCGAAGCUGUAGGAGACGGUGUUGAAUGUGUAACAGAAAAAAACGGGUGGUGGGAGCAGGCAAAAUGAGAAUAGCUUUUGAGGUCAGCGCUGCAUCAUAAGAUGAAAAAAAAAAAAGAGGAAAGGAUAAAGGUUGUUUAUUAGACUGCUACCCCAUAAUCAGAUCAUUGGAGAGAGCUUGAGACGGUCAAUCCUUUUACCCCACCACCUCCUGACAUCUGGUAUGAAUCUAUGGGUGUUAAUGUAUUGAUGUCGCCUAAAUGUAAACUGACUCUGUACAGGUCAAGCCUUGAUUGGUGCAUAGAUUGGCUGAAAUGCCAACUUAUGGUGUUGUGAGCAGCAGCCGCGUCACAAUCUUCCAGAAUGAGUUGUGGAUUUGGGUUGUGAGGACACCCUUGAAACUGUCGUCAUGCUAUGGUAAGUGUGACUCUCAAGUUAUCACCAUGACUUUCUCUUUGUUGGUCUCACGAAUAAAUGAUUGUCCAGCGGGACAAAGUUAUAAAUUUGUAACGUAACAUAUGAAUGUUCUCUCACACGUUUAGAUCAUCCACAUGUACUCGAGAUUCUGAUUAGAGUUUUAAGUGUUUUAUUAAGAUAGAUUUUGGUUAGACGUGAAUUUUAAU